RNAcentral lists this ribosomal RNA (503 nucleotides) under uncultured bacterium. RNAcentral describes it as "partial 16S ribosomal RNA". It matches the Rfam family "Bacterial small subunit ribosomal RNA", at positions 30 to 523 of the family's 1533-position model. The record is from RNAcentral.
AUUGAACGCUGGCGGCAGGCUUAACACAUGCAAGUCGAGCGGGGUGAUGGUGCUUGCACUAUCACUUAGCGGCGGACGGGUGAGUAAUGCUUAGGAAUCUGCCUAUUAGUGGGGGACAACAUCUCGAAAGGGAUGCUAAUACCGCAUACGUCCUACGGGAGAAAGCAGGGGAUCACUUGUGACCUUGCGCUAAUAGAUGAGCCUAAGUCGGAUUAGCUAGUUGGUGGGGUAAAGGCCUACCAAGGCGACGAUCUGUAGCGGGUCUGAGAGGAUGGACGCACACGAGGGGACUGAGACACGGCCCAGAGACAUCCGGGGGGAAGCAGGGGGGAAUCUUCGGCAAUGGACGAAAGUCUGACGGGGCAACGCCGCGUGAGUGAAGAAGGUUUUCGGAUCGUAAAGCUCUGUUGUUUGAGACGAAUGUGCCUGUUUCGAAUAGGGAUAGGUAAUGACGGUAUUAAACGAGAAAGCCACGGCUAACUACGUGCCAGCAGCCGCCGUAA